GAUUUUCAAUGAUUUAGGCACGUGUCUCCCCUCCCUCCUUCACUACAGCCCUCGUGCCCAGAGCUGACAUGAGUCCUCCCACGGGUCCACCCCUGAGUCUGCUCACAAGGAUGAGAACAGUGGAUGCAGUGGUUGAUAGUGGAUGCAGUGUGUCUGUAUAGUCGAUGCAAAGUGUGUGUGUGUGUGUGUGUGUACAGUGCAUUCAGAGUGUGAAUGCAGAGAGUGUGUGUAAGGAAAGUGGAUGCAGUGUGGGUAUAGUGGAU
This is a non-coding RNA of Pelobates cultripes (western spadefoot toad), 263 nucleotides long. Lineage: Eukaryota; Metazoa; Chordata; Amphibia; Anura; Pelobatidae. The record is from the annotation of a GenBank genome assembly.